This 464-nucleotide ribosomal RNA is filed under the name uncultured bacterium. RNAcentral describes it as "bacterial SSU rRNA". It matches the Rfam family "Bacterial small subunit ribosomal RNA", at positions 30 to 487 of the family's 1533-position model. The record is from RNAcentral.
AUUGAACGCUGGCGGCAUGCCUUACACAUGCAAGUCGAGGGGCAGCACGGGUAGCAAUACCUGGUGGCGACCGGCGCAAGGGUGCGUAACGCGUGAGCAACAUGCCCUAUACAGGGGGAUAAUCCAGGGAAACUUGGUCUAAUAUCCCAUAGUAUUUAGAGGAGGCAUCUUCUAUAAAUUAAAGCUUCGGUGGUAUAGGAUUGGCUCGCGUGACAUUAGCUAGAUGGUGAGGUAACGGCUCACCAUGGCAAUGAUGUCUAGGGGUUCUGAGAGGAAGGCCCCCCACACUGGGACUGAGACACGGCCCAGACUCCUACGGGAGGCAGCAGUGAGGAAUAUUGGACAAUGGAUGGAAAUCUGAUCCAGCCAUGCCGCGUGCAGGAAGACAGCCCUAUGGGUUGUAAACUGCUUUUAUAUGGGAGCAAUAAGGUCUACGUGUAGACUGAUGAGAGUACCAUAUGAAU